AGCGAACGCUGGCGGCAGGCUUAACACAUGCAAGUCGAACGAACCUUUCGGGGUUAGUGGCGGACGGGUGAGUAACGCGUGGGAACGUGCCAUUAGGCUCGGAUUAACUCAGGGAAACUUGUGCUAAUAUCGAAUGUGUACCUCGGGGGAAAGAUUUUUCGCUUUUAGAGCGGCGCGAGUCUGAUUAGCUUGUUGGUUGUGGUCAUGGCUUGCCCAGGCGACGAUCAGUAGCUGGUAUGAGAGGAUGAACAGCUAGAUUGGGACUGAGACACGACCCAAACUCCUACGAGAAGCGGCGGAGGGGGAUCUUGCGGAAGGGGCGAGAUGCUGACACAGCCAUGCCGCGUGAAUGAUGAAGGGCUUAUGAUUGUAAUAUUCUUUCACCGAGGACGGUAAUGACGGUACCCGGAGAAGAAGCCCCGGCUAACUUCGUG
This 434-nucleotide ribosomal RNA is filed under the name uncultured bacterium. RNAcentral's name for it is "partial 16S ribosomal RNA". It matches the Rfam family "Bacterial small subunit ribosomal RNA", at positions 29 to 507 of the family's 1533-position model. The record is from RNAcentral.